This 373-nucleotide unclassified non-coding RNA is filed under the name uncultured bacterium. Its description in RNAcentral is "contains 16S-23S intergenic spacer region". The record is from RNAcentral.
UCCGCCUUACAGCGGCAGUUUGUUCCGAGUCCCCGACUUUACUCGCUGGUAACAGAACAUGAGGGUUGCGCUCGUUGCGGGACUUAACCCAACAUUUCACAACACGAGCUGACGACAGCCAUGCACCACCUGUGUAGCACCCUCGAAGGCGACCACGUUUCGGCGGCUUGCAGCUACAUGUCAAGCCCUGGUAAGGUUCUUCGCGUUGCAUCGAAUUAAGCCACAUGCUCCACCGCUUGUGCGGGCCCCCGCCAAUUCCUUUGAGUUUCAACCUUGCGGUCGUAGUCCCCAGGCGGUUCACUUAAUGCGUUAGCUGCGGCACCGAGGGCAAAACCCCCGACACCUAGUGAACAUCGUUUAGGGCUGGGAAUAC